GACGAACGCUGGCGGCGUGCUUAACACAUGCAAGUCGAACGGAAAGGCCCUGCUUUUGUGGGGUGCUCGAGUGGCGAACGGGUGAGUAACACGUGAGUAACCUGCCCUUGACUUUGGGAUAACUUCAGGAAACUGGGGCUAAUACCGGAUAAGAGCUCCUGCUGCAUGGUGGGGGUUGGAAAGUUUCGGCGGUUGGGGAUGGACUCGCGGCUUAUCAGCUUGUUGGUGGGGUAGUGGCUUACCAAGGCUUUGACGGGUAGCCGGCCUGAGAGGGUGACCGGCCACAUUGGGACUGAGAUACGGCCCAGACUCCUACGGGAGGCAGCAGUGGGGAAUAUUGCACAAUGGGCGGAAGCCUGAUGCAGCAACGCCGCGUGCGGGAUGACGGCCUUCGGGUUGUAAACCGCUUUCGCCUGUGACGAAGCGUGAGUGACGGUAAUGGGUGAAGAAGCACCGGCUAACUACGUG
RNAcentral lists this ribosomal RNA (468 nucleotides) under uncultured bacterium. RNAcentral describes it as "partial 16S ribosomal RNA". It matches the Rfam family "Bacterial small subunit ribosomal RNA", at positions 28 to 507 of the family's 1533-position model. The record is from RNAcentral.